AAUCGACACUUUUAGAGGGUCGUUAGGGAUUACAUGAGUCAAUAUUUGCCAAGGGUUUAGCAACCGGGCACGUGGUCAUCAUUACAUGUGUUUGCUAAAUAGCACUAGUGUAGUCAGUCAACAAUGUAGGUCCUGCUGAUGCUGGGUCUGGGAGGUUGGGAAUGAGAUUUCCACUUUACAGGUGAAGAGACUGAGGAUCCGGAGAGGAAGAGACUUGCCCAGAUGGCACUCAAACCUGGGUUCUGUCUCCCUUCAACCUUCACUCUUCCAGCACCCCAGGCCACCUCCCUCCCUUCUCAGGCGCCUAGGCUGGCUCGGGUGGGCGCAGUGCCCCACACUUGACAGAGGCCCCUUUGUCCCCCUGCCCAGUGUCACACCCUGAGGGUGAGGCACGGCCGGACAAGCGCCCAGUGUCUGCGUCUGUUUCAUCGCCAGGUCUGCGGCCGCCUGGACGGCUCCAGCCACAGGACUCACGUCUUCCAAAAUGGGAUGAGGUUACCCAGUCAGUCACACAAUGGCAGAAACUAGUGUCAGGAGCCUGCAGCCCCCAAACUGAUGGAUGCCUCCAAUCUCAGCAGCAAAACGUGAACGGAAUUGAUGCCGAUGAAAACAGUUUCAGUCAAAUUACAAUGGAAUGAAAAACACAGCCAUUGUUGAUCUGUACCACAGCGGAAAAACAGAAAAAUCUGAUCAAAGAAUUAAGUUGGAUGAAUAGAGUUCAAGCUGGAGAA
This is a non-coding RNA of Callithrix jacchus (white-tufted-ear marmoset), 731 nucleotides long. NCBI's taxonomy places the organism in Eukaryota, Metazoa, Chordata, Mammalia, Primates, Cebidae. The record is from RefSeq and is a predicted model, not a curated record.